AGCAGCCGCGGUAAUUCCAGCUCCAAUAGCGUAUAUUAAAGUUGUUGCAGUUAAAAAGCUCGUAGUUGAAUUUCGGGAUCAAGUCGUCGGUCGUGCUCAAGUACGUACUGGCGUCAUUAAUUUCUCCCUUCUGACGAACCAUGAUGUCAUUAAUUUGGUGUUAUGGGAAAUCAGGACUGUUACUUUGAAAAAUUGGGUGUUUAAAGCAGGCUCACGCUUGAAUACAUUAGCAUGGAAUAAUGAAAUAGGACGUUCGAUCCUAUUUUGUUGGUUUUAGGAUCAACGUAAUGAUUAAUAGGGAUAGUUGGGGGCAUUAGUAUUCAAUUGUCAGAGGUGAAAUUCUUGGAUUUAUUGAAGACUAACUACUGCGAAAGCAUUUGCCAAGGAUGUUUUCAUUAAUCAAGAACGAAAGUUAGGGGAUCGAAGACGAUCAGAUACCGUCGUAGUCUUAACCAUAAACUAUGCC
RNAcentral lists this unclassified non-coding RNA (466 nucleotides) under uncultured Glomus. Its description in RNAcentral is "SSU rRNA". It matches the Rfam family "Eukaryotic small subunit ribosomal RNA", at positions 569 to 1043 of the family's 1831-position model. Lineage: Eukaryota; Fungi; Glomeromycota; Glomeromycetes; Glomerales; Glomeraceae. The record is from RNAcentral.